Molecule: long non-coding RNA, 376 nt
Organism: Bombyx mori (domestic silkworm)
Lineage: Eukaryota; Metazoa; Arthropoda; Insecta; Lepidoptera; Bombycidae
Exons: 2
Source: RefSeq, a predicted model, not a curated record
AAAAAAAAAAAAAAAACGCUUUUAUAGAAAAUCCCACUAAAAAAUAGAAAAUAAAUCUUAAUAAAUUUCAAUUAAAAAUAGUGUAAGAUUAAAUUAUUUUAUUGUAAAAAACGCGUGGGGUGCUUUUCAGGAUAUUAUCAAAAAGUCGAGACCACUUCGCACACACUUCCCCGGUUCUACACUUUUGGAAAUUGAAAGACUCUAAUAUGGUCAAUCUAUCGUUUUAGUCGUUUCAUUGUGACGAAGAGAAACACAAAAGUAUCAAAAUGAAUACAAUGGUAACAAACAAUCUUUUGAAGGGAAGAUUAUCUUUUGUUAAAAACAGGAAAGCGAAAUUUUGGUUUUAAAAAUAAAGGUUUAUUUGAAGCGAGAUCAA